AGCUGCAGUGGCGGGGAGUGGGGUGCGGAUCUUGUGUUUGCGCACGCAGUCGCCGGCCACCUCAGGCCGGAGCUAGAGAUACGGCUCGGGAUAGGAGGGCCCGGCGGCUCUGAGGCAGGUUCGCCUCGAGCCGCACGGCCCGGAGCAGCGGCUCCGCGGUGGUCCCCGGGGCUUGAGAGGGGUGCGGGCCUGGGAGCCCCUGAGGGCCUGAUUUACGGAACUCCCCCUCCUUCCUCCUUUCUGCCGUUCCCUGCUCUGUGGCGGAUGCGCAGGGAUCAGUAGGGACGGCAGCAGUAGGGCCACUCGGGCCUGCCCCGCUUCCCGCAUUGCCCGGUUUGGCGCGCCGCCUCCGGGCCUUGGCAAAGCCCCAGCGCCCGAUUGUCACUGACCAGUGCUUGGAAGUCCUUUACCGACUGCCCGUCAGCGUCCCGCGGAGAGGAUUUUGCGUCUCCAAAGACGCCCCUCUUCCGAAAACAGGCUCCUCUGUGUUCUCAGUCGGGUAUAUUUUUCUGUCUCCAAACUAGAUUGGCAGCCGUUUUUUGAGAGCAGGGUCUUGCUCUGUUGCCCAGACUGGAGUGCAGUGGCGCCAUCUCAGCUGACUGCAGAUUCAACCUUCUGAGCUCACGAAAUCCUCCCAUCUCAACCUCCUGAGUAGCUGGGACCACAGGCUGAGCACAGGGUUGCUCCAGGUGGGCCCAAAUGCUGAAGAGCCUCAUGUUAGAGUUUUUCACCUCUGCGAUGGAACUGUGGUGGACUCCAGUAUCAUCAUUCCAGGGAGGCAUAGCCGCACCAACUGUGUUCCCAGGUUUCACAUGGAGAAGGGUUUUAGAAAGUGCAGAUAGCCUUGAAACCAUUGGUUUCCUACCACUGUUUAUUUCAGCAUAACUUUUUUUGUGUGGAAUGCUAGCUCUGGAAGAGCAGAAAUAAAUACAGCUUAAGCUUUGAACCAUAAAAAAAAAAAAAAAAAA
This 968-nucleotide long non-coding RNA is filed under the name Homo sapiens (human). RNAcentral's name for it is "DPY19L3 divergent transcript (DPY19L3-DT)". The record is from RNAcentral. Lineage: Eukaryota; Metazoa; Chordata; Mammalia; Primates; Hominidae.